RNAcentral lists this ribosomal RNA (492 nucleotides) under uncultured bacterium. RNAcentral's name for it is "partial 16S ribosomal RNA". It matches the Rfam family "Bacterial small subunit ribosomal RNA", at positions 30 to 507 of the family's 1533-position model. The record is from RNAcentral.
AUUGAACGCUGGCGGUAUGCUUAACACAUGCAAGUCGAACGGCAACAGCAUAAGGGCGGCUGCUGACUGGUGGCCGGGUGCGUACUAGUUCGGAAUGCGUCUGAAUGUAGUGGAUCGUUACUCGUAAGAGUGGCUAAUAUACGCUAAUACCUCAGGCUGCAUACAGGGGAAAUCAGGGCAUCUUCCUACCUGAGCGGCUGAUGGCAGCCGAUGUCGGAUUAGGUAGUUGGCGGGGUAAAGGCCCACCAAGGCGACGAUCCGUAGCUGGUCUGAGAGGAUGAUCAGCCACACUGGAACUGAGACACGGCCCAGACUCCUACGGGAGGCAGCAGUGGGGAAUAUUGGACAAUGGGCGCAAGCCUGAUCCAGCAAUACCGCGUGGGGGAAGAAGGCCUUCGGGUUGUAAACCGCUUUUGUUGGGAACGAAAAGCCGCAGGUUAAUACAGGGCUGUCAUGACGGUACCGUAAGAAUAAGCACCGGCUAACUUCGUG